UAACCUGAACCAUUUUAAACUUCGUUUACACACACAGGGCAUGGCAGUAGAGAAUAUUACUCGUGGUUUGUCCUUGAAGAAAUCCUAAUUACAAGUCUUUCUGAACACAGCAGAGAGGUCGGGAAGCAAGUUGUGGAGAAGUUUAAACAUCUUCCCUCUACACACUUCUUGACACUCAAGGGCACGGAACGAAAUACAUAAAAUCAGUUAAAAGAAACAACGCGGCACACGAGUGAAGGAGGAUGAGGAUGACGAGAAGUCUGGAAUCAGCUGCGAUGAGGAGACCGCUUGUGAUUUCGGAAGUCAUCACGUCACGCCUCUGACCCUUUAGGAACAUUUUUACCUGCGUUGCACUGAGAAGCAGCUCUUAUCAUGAACUCGGCAGAAGCAGGACUCCACCAGAUGUUUGCUAAUAGUCGCUGGCUAGUCUGAAGGAUCUGAGUGGGGAAGUCAACACUGCAGGCUGCUGGUUUCACAGCAGAAGAUGGGUUUGCUGUGGUGACAACAGCUUCCACUGUUUUGUCUGACGUCGGUUAUUUCUGGUACCUUUUGCACAACUUAUUUAAAACCAAUAGAAAGUAACUGCUGCGUUCACGGAUUGCAGACUUGUCAUUUGUUAAAGAGCAGCAGUGAGACGUGUCAGAAGUCGGUAGUACUUUACUGAGACCCGGGUUGUUCAAGCUUCUGGGUUUUUUUUACUGACAUGUGUGACAUAUUCAGAAUAUAUGAUAAUCGUUUAAGCUUGUUAGGAUCUUAUGUUGUUUUGGAAUUUGAUUUGACUCUAGUUUUGUCAUUAUUUCAUUCUAUAAUUUUGUAAAAUAAAUACAAAAUGGGUUGGAUAUGUCGAAAGAUUACCACUAAAAUCCAUUUGAUAUCAUCUGUAUGUUUUUAUGUUGCAUCAAAUAUUCCCCCUGCUGACCUUCAUGGCCAAAGCUAUUGUAUUGGCUUUCAUUAAAACCACAUAUUUUAAUACAACUGUAGUUACA
Poecilia reticulata (guppy) is the source of this 986-nucleotide long non-coding RNA. RefSeq lists it as uncharacterized. The record is from RefSeq and is a predicted model, not a curated record. NCBI's taxonomy places the organism in Eukaryota, Metazoa, Chordata, Actinopteri, Cyprinodontiformes, Poeciliidae.